Molecule: ribosomal RNA, 379 nt
Filed under: Staphylococcus aureus
Lineage: Bacteria; Bacillati; Bacillota; Bacilli; Caryophanales; Staphylococcaceae
Description: partial 23S ribosomal RNA
Rfam family: Bacterial large subunit ribosomal RNA
Source: RNAcentral
UAAGGGCGCACGGUGGAUGCCUUGGCACUAGAAGCCGAUGAAGGACGUUACUAACGACGAUAUGCUUUGGGGAGCUGUAAGUAAGCUUUGAUCCAGAGAUUUCCGAAUGGGGAAACCCAGCAUGAGUUAUGUCAUGUUAUCGAUAUGUGAAUACAUAGCAUAUCAGAAGGCACACCCGGAGAACUGAAACAUCUUAGUACCCGGAGGAAGAGAAAGAAAAUUCGAUUCCCUUAGUAGCGGCGAGCGAAACGGGAAGAGCCCAAACCAACAAGCUUGCUUGUUGGGGUUGUAGGACACUCUAUACGGAGUUACAAAGGACGACAUUAGACGAAUCAUCUGGAAAGAUGAAUCAAAGAAGGUAAUAAUCCUGUAGUCGAAA